Molecule: long non-coding RNA, 780 nt
Filed under: Homo sapiens (human)
Lineage: Eukaryota; Metazoa; Chordata; Mammalia; Primates; Hominidae
Description: non-protein coding lnc-SLCO1C1-1:3
Source: RNAcentral
AGAGGCCAGGAAGAAAGAGGAAAGAGAAGAGAUCGCUCAGGGUCUGUGGUGUGUGGUCCAUCCUCUUGCUGAGCACAUUGAAAGGAACUGGCUAUCUUUGAUCUCUUCCUCCAGGGGAUGAACUGUAGCCUCCUUGGAACAUACUACACUUGCAAUAAUUUGCGCAUUAACCAUCAAGACACUUCAGUAAAGCUAUGCAGUGCCAAUAGUUUAAGCUGGAUCCUAUUUUGCCCUAACACAAAGUGAACUGAGAUGACUAUAUUUAUAUUUCAUUAUACUUUUGAAUUUUAGUUACAGUGAUUUUUGUGUCAACACCUCCAUAUAUUAGAUAACUUAAAAUGUGCUAUAGUAUCUCAAGUUUUUCAGUAGUGUUUUUAACAUAAUUAUUUUUUCUCUUUGACAUUAGCAUUCUAGAUGUAACACUUUGGAUCUUUUAAAGAUAAAUUUAGGAUAAAUGAUAGCAGAUUUUAUUAUUAAACAAUUUAUUUGUAUUUUCUGGUCACUGACUUUAAUAUUAUGACUGAUGAGAAAUAAUAUGAUAUCUGAAUCCCCAAAAACAGAAGGCCAAUUUGAAUUAUAUAAUUUAAUCCUUUGAAGAAUAUUGCAAUUUAAGCCAGAAAUUUAAUAAUUAUCCGUUUCUUAUUUUAAAACCUUUCUGGUUUGUAUAUCUCUUGCUUGGCAAUAUUUUUACUCAUAGUUUUGUAGUAAAGAUACCUAUUUAACAUUGUAUAACUCUGCAUUUCCCAAACCCUGUUUUCCUUGUCCUGGCAAAAUACUGUU